GGAAGGAUCUUUUCUGCUGAUCUCUCCUCUGGAGUUUUGCAGUGAGCCCAGGAUGUGGGCAAAAGUGUUUUACUUCACCCUGGGAAAAGAAAGAAAGAAAACAGGAAAACAGGAAAAAAACAUUCAACUCCAUUGAGAGAUUAUUCUAAUCACAGGACAUGUGGUAAGGGACGUUCUCAAGGAGAUAAAAAUGCCUUUUAUUUCUGUUCCCUAUGCAGAAGAUCAAAAAAAGGAACUCGGAUUCAAUGAGUUAUGUUGAAGGACUGCAUCCUGAUGGUAAUAAUGCAUCUAUUAUAGAAUAUUUCAUAGAAAAAUCGUUUAGUGAAUCAUAUACCAUCACUUUA
Lagopus muta (rock ptarmigan) is the source of this 344-nucleotide long non-coding RNA. RefSeq lists it as uncharacterized. The record is from RefSeq and is a predicted model, not a curated record. NCBI's taxonomy places the organism in Eukaryota, Metazoa, Chordata, Aves, Galliformes, Phasianidae. The transcript has 3 exons.